Molecule: transfer RNA, 90 nt
Filed under: Mycoplasmopsis bovis
Lineage: Bacteria; Bacillati; Mycoplasmatota; Mycoplasmoidales; Metamycoplasmataceae
Description: Mycoplasma bovis tRNA-Tyr
Source: RNAcentral
GGAGGGAUGUAGCAGAAGCUUGACCAAACGCGGGUGGCUGUAACCCACUUCCUCACGGUUCGGGGGUUCAGAAUCCCUCCCCCUCCACCA